GUACAGGUAAAAUCAAGCAAUGACGAGUAUACACGUCGUACGCAGAGUAAAUGUUCCUAUCAUAAAAUGUACGAAAAAAGUAGAGCAGAACUAGGAGGGAUUACAUUUUUAUUCGAUGAAAAAUUAACAAUUCAUCGUUGGAAGAAGGUAUUGUUAUUAAGAACUUAAAAAUUGCCAAGAAAGUAAUAAAGUAAAGUACACAAAACAAUUCCGAAUAUCCGAUGUAUGGGGGAUAAUAAUCAACUCAAUUUAUAAAGAGCAAUACAUUAUACGGAGCAUAACCGAUAUACCAAAGAAAAUAAUCAAUAACAUUCGACGUAUAUAU
Molecule: long non-coding RNA, 325 nt
Organism: Bombus impatiens (common eastern bumble bee)
Lineage: Eukaryota; Metazoa; Arthropoda; Insecta; Hymenoptera; Apidae
Exons: 3
Source: RefSeq, a predicted model, not a curated record